CCCCACCCACCCCGCGCCCCGGGGCGCAGGCCCGGAGCUCAGCCACCGCCUCAGUGGCUCGAUGCGUCCGGGCGGGGUUCGGGAAGCCGGCCCUCCAGGCCGGAGCUCGCGGUGUGACCUUAGGAGGAGUGAAACACUAGAAGAGCUGAUUUUAAGUUCACAUAGAAAACUAAGCCAGGAGUGGUGGCACAUGCCUGUAAUCCCGGUACAAGGCAGGCUGAGGCAGGAGGAUCUAUGUUCAAGGGAGGUUGAGACUCCAUAGCAUAGAUCAAUGGGAGAUACAGAAAUCCAGAAAUAGAUCCAAAUGCCCAUGAGAAUGUAGGAGAUGAUAAAAAAAUUUCAAAUUUAUUGAGAAAAGAUGAGUCCAUCAAAGAGCUUGAAUCCUGGCACAGUGGCUUGGGACUGCAGUCCUCAAGAUACUCAGGAGACUGAGGCAGGAUUACCCUUGAGUCCAGGUGUUCAAAACCAGCCUCAUCUCAAAAGCAAUCUCAAAAACAAACAAGUGAGGCAUGGUGACCUGUAAUCCCAGCACUUGGGAGGCUGAGGCUAGAGGAUUGCUACAAAUUUGAGAUCAGGCUGGGCUACAUGGUGGUGCCUGUGUGGGCAGCACAUGUACUAAAAUCGGGCCACAUGGUGAAUUCAAGGCCAUCCUGGAUUACACUGGGAGACUUUGCUUCAAAAAAGCCAAGCCCACAGGUGUGGUGGUGUGCACCUAUAAUCCCAGCACUCAGGAGGCUGAGGCAGGAGGAUUGCCAGGAGUUUGAGACCAGCCUGGGCUACAUAGUAAGUUCAAGCCCAGCCUGAACUAUAUAGUGAGGCUUUCUCUCAAAAUGAAAUUAAAAAAUCAAAACAGACAUCAAGAAAAGGAAAUGAUCUACAAAAAAUAAAAUUGGAUUCAUAAUUUGUAUCUUAGAAGAAAUUCUAAACAAACAAGUGCUCAAUAGUAGAGCACUGGCCUCAUGUGUGUGAGGCCCUGGGUCCCUUCCCUAGCACCACCAAAAGAAUAAAAAUAAAAAUAAAAAUAAAAAAGCCCCCAAAAUAAAUUAAUGAACAAGACGUAAUCAUCUCAGUGUAGAAAGGAUCCUUUUUAAAACCAUCACACGCACAUACAGGACACAAAACUCAGAAGCCAUAAAAUUAAUGAAUUAACCAACAAGAUACAGUCACCUCAAUGAGGAAAGAGUAUUUUUUUAAACCAUGACACAAAACCCAGAAGCCAUAAAAUUUUAUUUUCAUGAUACUGUGAAUCAUAGCAAGGUCAAGAUGAUUAAUUAAAGAAAACAUUUACAGUUUAUGUCUUUAUUUUUCAGUACUGAGAUUGAACCCAGGGCUUCAUGCAGGCCAGGGAAGUGCUCUACCCCUGAGCUACAUCCUCGCCCUGGAAUGUGUAUCUUAAAGGACUUUCAUUGCAAUCAGAAGCCAUAGUCAGUGGAGAAAGGGGCAAAUCACAGAGAAGAGACAUGACUCUCACCCAUGAAAAAGUGCUUGAGUUCACACAGAGAAAAAAAUACAAAUUAAAGUUUCAUAAACAGAAAAAAAGAAAACCUUCACUAAGAGACUGUUUCCCACUUUUCACUUUGGCAAAAAUUUUUAAAGCAUAGCACCUUCCUAGUUGGUGAGUGUUCUGGAAGUCAGGCUUUCUUAGGCCCUGGUGGAGGGGUGGAGAGGUGAGUAGGCAGAGGGACAUUUGACUCCCAAAAUCAUCAAGAGGAUAAUUUUGCUUGGCCCUUGGAUAAGCAAUUCUAAGAAUCCAUUCUACAAGUGACUCAUUUUUUUAAAAUUUUUUUUUUGUCUUUUUCGUUUUUAUCGGUACCAGGGAUCGAGCUCACGACUGCCUGCUUGCAAGGCAGGUGCUCAUGCUGCUGAGCUAAAUCCCCAGCCCCCUGACUCCUUAUUUUUUAACACUGUCCGUAUAAAGCUACUCCCUGUUUGGAGUAGCAGAAGUCAGUUUUUACACCAAGCAACUUAAAUGUCAAUCAGUAAGGGACCAUGUUAUGGUACAUCCAUACAGAGGAAUACAAUACAGCUGUAAAAAGAGAUGUGUGAGUAAGAAAUCAUCUUCAAAAUAUUUUGAUUUGUACAGAACAGAAUGCAUGGACUCUGACCAUUUGAGUUUUAAAAAAGGAUGAAAAAUGAUGCAUAGUUGGUGUAGGGUAUUUUCUGAUACUUCACACAAUAUGAUUUCCAUCCCAGUUCUCCAAUAUCAACAAAUGAAUCAAAAUGAGCACAGUGCUGGCUCUGAGGUAGAGUUCUGCAUAAUGUGUGCACAGGGCUUGGUUCAUUCCACAGCUCCACAAAAAGAAAAAGAAAUAAAGACUACAUUUCUUUUUUGUUUGUUUUUUGAAACAGAGUCUCUCACUAUGCAUGCAGCUCAGGCUAAACUUGAACUCACUACAUAGCCCAAACUCAUGGCUGGCCUCAAACUCAUGGCAAUCUUCCUGCCUCAUCUUCCCCAGUGCUGGGAUCACAAGCAUGUGCCACCACACCCAGUAUGUUUUGUUUUGUUGUUUUGAGACAGGGUCUCACUAUAUAGUUCAGGCCAGCCUUGAACUCACAGGGAUCCUCCUGCCUCAGCCUUCCAAAUGCUUGGAUUAUAGACAUGUACCAUGCCUGGCUCCACUAGGAACUCUUCAAGUUAGUACAGACUCCACAUGGCAACUCCAUUCCAUAGAGCUGGCCCCGCUUCAAUUCCAACCACAAUCAGGGCUCCCACCACCUCUCACCUCUCUUACAGUGGGCCAGGAAGCUUAUAGAACCCAGGCUUUUACUUAGUGCCAGCACAGCCAGAUGCAGGAGAUGUGCAGAGCUAGGAUUGGGUUCCCUCCCAGCACUUCCUGGUUACAGUCUAUCACAGGCCUCCCCACCUGACUUCACACCCUCUAGACAGGUCUUUCUGAUGACCAGCCCCUACUCGUCACUAUAUUGGCAUAAACUCUCCUUACAGAUAACUCAGAGACUUUCAUGACAAAAGACACUUCUGCCAGGUGUGUUGGUGCACACACCUGCAAUUCCAAUACUCAGGAGGCUGAGGCAGGAGGAUCUCCAUGAAUUUGAGGCCAGCCUGGGCUACAUAUUAAGCCCCAGUAUCGAGACCCUGUCCCAUAACACACACACACACAUGCACACACGCAAACACACACGCACACACAAAGGACCAGAGACAAAGGCCAGAUAGCACUGGGUGGUGACUGCACAGCAGUGGCAGUCUUGAACAGCAGUUGAGGGUGGGAGUGAGCCAGUGGGGCAUAGGGUGGGCUGCAGAGACAGCAGCCUCAUGACUUGAUAUUUUUUCAAGUAGCAAUCAAAUGUGGAAACACACACACAUGUACAUGUGAUCGUGUAUGUUUAGAUUCUCUGGAAGGACACAGGAAGGCAUAGCUUUCACGGCUUCCAGGUUAGGGAAGCAGGUGGCUGAGAGCUGAGACAGGAGGACCACUCUUGGCUCCGAAGCUGCGUGUGACUCUGUCACCUGUUUGAAAACCAAACAGUUUUUAGUUGUUGGCUUGGUCUCUACAGUCCUCAGUCCAGGGGCUCUCACCUCGGACCCCUAGAGCCAUCUCCAAGAGCCUGUGGGGCCAUCCGUGCUCCUUGUGCCUCCCCAGGCCCAGCCCUUCCUGUCCCCAAGCCACAGUUCCCUCCGUGCAGUUUCCUCUGUCACCACACCCAGGCCUCACCUGUCACACACGCCCAUGAUCUCAGCUCUCCCCCCUCCCCGUGUAAAUCCCACAGCUCCCAUUGUAGUUAAUAUGGGUGCAACCAUACGGAGGUAUGGGGAGAUUAAACAAACCGACAUGUGGAAUUCGAAUUUAAACUGUUUGGCUCCAAAGACAAAAUCUUAAUCACUACUCUAGGCUGACUCCAUCAAUACCCAGGCCACCUUCGUUGGGCAGCCUUCUCCACUCUGCUAACAAGACAUGUAAGUGCGUGCGUGCGUGCGUGCGCAUGCGCAAUUCCAGGAGUCCCAUGCAGGGCGUUGCGUGUGCCAAGCCCACGCACCACCACAGACCACACAUUGCUUAUUUGAGUUCUGUUUUUCUGGGGAGAAAAACUGUAUUAUAAUAAUCAGUACAAGAGGCUCCACUGGCAAACUUCCUCUCAAAGCGUGCUGGAGUAUUGGCCGGCUCAGGUUUUGGCAACAGUGCUGGAGCGCAGUUUUAGAGCUGGCAGUAGAGCUGUCCAGGAGGAGGUGAAGGACCUAAAGCUGUCAUUGUCCUGUUUGAGAAUCUAAAUGACUGGAACGUUUGGUAAGGAAGAAACAAGCUGCUUACCUCCUGUGUCAGAGCCCUUUCUUUUCAACAGAACUGAGGUCUCUGGCCAUUUUUUCUAGGACAGCAUGGCAUAUUGAGUGUCUUUCAUUAACCCAACCAACAGGAGCUUGUAUGUCUUUGGAUAAGUUUAUGUUUACAAAUGUUAUUAUUAAAUACUAUUACAAUAAAAAAUAAUCAGUACAAGCCAGGCAUGAUGGCACAUGCCUGUUAUCCCAGCACUUGGGAGGCUGAAAUAGAAGGAUCACUAAGAGUUCUAGGCCAGCCUGGGCUACAAAGUGAGUUCAAGGUCAUUGUGAUCUACCGAGUGACCCCUGAUGCAAAAAAAAAAGAAAAAAAAUCAGUAUAUUAUUUUUAUUGCAGUCCAUUAAACAGGCUUAGCCUGAAGGCAUUUCUAGACUGCCUUUGAACUUUCAUCUGAGCUUUUUCCAAGAGGUACCAGGCCUCUUCCAAGAACUGCGUGUCCCUCAGCUCAUUCCACCCCUCUGCUGGAGAUCUCAUCAUCCACAGGAGACAUUACAGUGGAGAAACAGGCUUAAUGGAAAGUGAUGGACAGAGCUGGUACAGAGCUUGCGUCCAACCCUGACAACUCCCUCCCCUUACCCCACCACCCUAGAUCAGGAAGCCAAGCCAGGACCUAGACAGGGGGUGUCUUGUAGGCACAUUUAUUAGGGGGCCUUGAUGAGAGUGGGAACAUGUCACGGGUUGAGAGGGGCUUGAAGCCCACCCAGCAGAGCCUUGCACCAGGCAAGCAGGCCUGGAGCUCUUCGCUCCGUGGACACAGCCUUGAAUUCAGCCUGGACAGUGAGACCUUGUCUCAACCAAAAGAAAACCCAGGCGUAGUGGCUCACGCCUGUAAUCCAGCACUCAGGAGGCUGAGGUAGGAGGAUCCUUGUGAGUUUGAGACCAGCCUGGGCUACAAAGUGAGCUCAAGGUCAGCCUGAACUGCAUAGUAAGACCCUGUCUCAAAAAAGACAAGAAAAAAAGAAAGAAAGAAAGAAAGAAAGAAAGAAAGAAAGAAAGAAAGAAGAAAGAAAAGCAGCAGAGGGCUUAACUGCUCCUGUUGCCUCCAGCCCUCAACACUCAGCACCGAAACACAUCUGGAAAGGCCACUGACCUCUCCACAAAGGGGAAAAUGAGGCCCAGAGAAACACAUGACAUCAAAUCCAAAAAAACUUGGAUUUAGAGCAAGAUGAAACGGGAACUCAAACACUUCAAGGUACUUUUUUUAUUAUUAUUUUUAUUUCUUUGCCUCAUUUUUACUAAGUUGGUUUAUUUGAAAGUGCAGAAAAGGGAGACAAUAGCUAGUUACUCAACCAGUAGGGAGCAUCCGAAAGCGAAAUACUCCUGUGUUUUGCUUUUCUGAGGCAAGUUUUCACUAUGUAGUUUAGGCUGGCCUCGAACUCACAGUGAUCCUCUUGCCUCAGCCUCCCAUGUAUUGGGAUUAUAGGCGUGUGCCAUCAUGCCCAGCUUUUAAACUACUUUCUUAAAACCUCCCUCUUCCUCCUGGAGAUGCCAACUCGGGACUCAGUAUAUGUGGAAACCUCCAGCUCGAUGUCCACAAGCAGCCCAGCCUCCUGUCGCCAGAAAUCUGACCUUGGCUCAGGAGUUACCUACUACAAACCCCAAAGGUGCAGGCCAGCGCUUUAUGUAGCCUGCAGGUGGCCCCACACCCAGCUCCUCCACCAAUGAGUCCUCUUGAAAGGGGUGGGACUUAGUCCUUGUCUAGCGCUUCUAUCAGCGAACCCGUCAUCACCCACACAGCAACCUCGGCUCCCAGGGUGAAGUCUCUACUAGUUUCCGCUCCUGGAAGAGCAGGCUGUGGACCCCAGAGCCCGGAACCCCGCAGGAUAGGCAAGAGCCCAAUGCAGCAGCAGGGAGUUCCUCAAAAUAAAGUCUAGACUUCCACAGUUUAUGAAUGAAUUCUAUUUUAUUAAUUAAUUAAUUUAUUUAUUUAUUAGGUACCAGGAAUCAAACUCAGGACCUCAUACUUGCCAGGCAAGUGCUGUGCCACUGAGCUAAAUCCAUGGCACUUAUUUCAUUUAUUUUUUGUAACUGGGAAUUGAACCCACGACCUUGGUACUGAGCUAUAGCCACAGGUUUUUGUUGUUGUUGUUGUUUGUUUUUUGUUUCUGAGAGGGUCUCGCUAUGUAGCCCAGGCUGGCCUGGAACUUACAGCAAUCCUCCUGCCUCAGCCUCCCACGUGCUAGGGUUACAGGUGUGCGCCACCACACCCAACCUGGGUAAGUAAACCUCAAUUCACAGUGUGUCUGGCCAGAAUGGAGGCUCUGGGUCUCUAUGAAUAUCUCUGAGUUUCUUCGCCUCUUGGGGCAUCUCUGGAUCCCCAAAUCUUUCUGUCUUUCAGAAUCUCAGAGCUUCUUGGUGGUCCUGAUCUCUGAGUCUCUGGAUUUCCCAGUCUCUCAGUCACCGCGGCUCCUGUUCUUUGAAGCUUCAGUGCCCUUGGGUUUUGGCUCCCCUGGACCUGUCCAGUACCUCUGGGUUUCAGGGUGUGCCUCUGGCCCCCUCCCAUCUCCCUAAGAUCCCCAGGAAGGUCCUCUCCACUGGAUCUCUAUAGCCUCCACUGGAUCUCGACAGCCACCUGCUUCCUGUCCAUGCAUACCUGUGGUUCCCUUCGCAGGUUUCCUCCUCUGCCCAACAAGGAAAGUGGGGGAACCCACCUAAAACCCCGGUGCUCACCAAAGCACUGAAGCCGAGGCAACCCCAUGAGGUGGGCGUUGCUAGCAGCCUCAUUUUACAAAGGAAGAAACAAACUUACUUGCUGGGUACGGUGGCACACACCUCUAAUCUCAGCUACUUUUGAGGCUGAGACAGGAGGAUAUCAAGAUCAAGGCCAACUUUGGCAAUUUAGUGAGACCCUUGAAACAUACAUACAUACAUAUGUAUAGAUGGAUGUAAACAAAUUUUUUAAAAGUAAGAAAGCCAGUGUGGUGGUCACACACCUUUAAUCCUAGUAUUUGGGAUGUUGAGGAAGGAGGAUCACUGCAAGUCUGAGUCCAGUUUGGGCCACAUGGUGAGUUGAAGUCCAGCCUGUACUACAUAACAAGACCCUGUCUUGGGCCAGGGGUUUAGCUCAGCAGCAUAAGUGCCUGCCUGGUAAGCACAAGGUCAUGAGUUCAAUCCCUGGUACAAAACAAACAAAACAAAAAACCUGUAUCAAAAAAUUGAAAACAAAAGUAAAAAGAAAAUAAAAGGAAAAGGGCUGGCAUGUAGCCCAAUGGUAGAGGGCUUAUCUGGCAUGCAUAAGGCUCUUGGGUUCGAUCUCCAGUACUAUCAAACACACAAAAAAAGGCAAUGCUCGGGGCUGGGGAUUUAGCUCAGCGGCAUAAGCGCCUGCCUUGCAAGCAGGCAGUUGUGAGUUCGAUCCCUGGUACUGAUAAAAACGAAAAAGACAAAAAAAAAAAAAAAAAAAAAGAAAGAAAAAAAAGGGCAAUGCUAAAGUAAAACCCAGAAAGGUUAAAUAACUGUGGAUAGCCACACAGUCAGUAAAUAGCCAAGUUUUCAUCUGGCUGCCUGGUCUGAUAGCAUCUGAUAGGGGAGUCUGGGGCCCAGCCGGCUGGUCCAAGGUUGUUUCUGGCUGAAGCUUUGACAUGGAGAAGGUGCUGAGCGCACUGUAUGAGCUACUGCACUGGCUGGCUCAGCCCCUCGACCCCUGGUACCCGGCUGGAGACGAGAAUACAGCACAGAGGCCUGGCUGUGGUGAGCUGCCUUCACCCUGGGAGGGUGGGCUAAUCGCAGAGCCAGCCCCAUAGAUCUGUCCCUCUCUAAAAAGAACAUGGAGCCAGGCCUGGUGGCGCAUGACUAUAAUCCCCCCCACAAUGUGGGAGGCUGAGGCAGAGGAAUUGCAAGUUUGAACUCAGCCUGGACAACUUAACAAGAAGCUGUUUCAAAAUUUUAAAAAGGAAAAGCUGAGGAUGUAGCUCAGUGUGAAGGCCAUAGGUUCAAGCUUCAGUUUGGGGAAGAGUUUUGGGGCUGGGGUACAGCUUAGUUGUAGAGACUGCCUAGCAUGCUUGAGGCCCUAGGUUCAGUCUCCACUGAUAUCCACGCACACUAGCUUCCUCUAAAGUUAGCAUCUUACGCAACUGUAGUACCAUUUCAACCAGGAAGUUGAUGUUGGUACACCCAAAUUACAGACCUUAUUUGGAUUUUGCCAGUUUUUGCAUAUGCUCUUUUUGCUUUGCUCUGGUUUUUGGCAUCCAGUUCCACAAUUUUUAUUAUACCUUUUUACUAGGAAUUGAACUCAUGACUUCGUGCUUGCCAGGCAGGCGCUGUGCCACUGAACUAAACCCCAGCCACAACUUUAUUAUUGCACAGAUUGUGUUCCCACCAUCUCAAUAGGAUGCAGAACAUUUCAUCAAAGAAACGCCCAAGCUCUGCCUUCAGGGUACCCUGUCCUGCCCCUGCCCCUGUCCUGACAUUCAUCUGUUCUGUCUCUGUAAUUUUGUCAUUUCAAGAAUAAGCAAUCCAAGGGCCGGUGAUUUAGCUCAGCGGCAUAAGGGCUUGCCUGGCAAGUGCAAGGUGGUCAGUUUGAUCCUGCUACAAAAAAAAAAAAAAAAUUUAUGGAGAAAUUUACUAACAAAUUCUGGAUCUUAGCCCUGAAGACUGAAGAAUAAGCAAGCCUUGGCCAGGUGUAGUGGUGCACACCUGUAAUCUCAGCACUCAGAGGCUGAGGCAGAAGGAUCACUGUGAGUUCAAGGCUAACCUGGGUCACCAAAUGAGUUCAAGGCCAACCUGAACUAUAUAGCCUGCCUCCGAAAUAGUAAUAAUAAUAAGAAGAAGAAGAAACAGAAGAAGCGAAACUGUAGUAUAUGACUUCUGAAACUGGCUUUUUCAUUCUACACAAUACCCUUAAAGGCCAUGUAAGUUUUUACAUGUAUCAGUAAAUCUGUCCUAGCCUAGCAUGUUGGGGCACUCCUGCAAUCCCAGCAUGGCAGGGGAGGGUCAGAGGUGGGGGAUUCCAAGUUUGGACCCACCCUGGGCAAUUUAGCUAAGACUUAGCAAGACUCUUGUCUCAAAAUAAAACCGAAAGAGUUGAGAAUGUAGGGAUCAACUCCCAGCAGCAGCAGCAGCAGGACCACCACCACCACCACCAAAAAAUAAACCGUCACUGUCACAGUGAUAGAAUCCUCGAACAUUGUCUAAUGGCGCCGCUCUGUCCGAGGUUAAGCUGUUCCCCAGGAAACCCGCUGAGACCCUUAGCCUGUUCCCCGUGGGUGACAGUGACAUUAUUUGGAAAUAGUCUUUGCAGAUGUAAUCAAGCGAAGACAAGAUCUUGUUCAUCUUAAUGAGGGCAGGUGCUGACUCACGCUGACCAGGGACCUUCGCAAGGUGCGGACACCCGGAAGUAGACACAGGCGAGGCCGGGCAGGCACUGCCACCUGCCGGCGCCCACGUGACCAAGACGGCGGGAACCGGAAGUACGCGACUCAUGCCUGCCUGCCGCUGGAUUCCAGGCUUCUUGCCUCCAGAAAUUGGUUGUUUGAGCUUGGUUCUUUGAAGCUACCACUUUGGGAUCCUCUGCGGCAGCUGCCCUGGACCUGCCGCUGACACAUUCUCCUCCGCCCGGGUGAAGCCUCUCGCAGACUUUAGCUUCUUUGUUCAUUGGCUUUUUUUCUUCCUGUUUAGUUUGAGUUCUUUCUGUACGCUGAAUACAAGUCCUUUGUUGCA
Long non-coding RNA from Cavia porcellus (domestic guinea pig), 9950 nucleotides. RefSeq lists it as uncharacterized. NCBI's taxonomy places the organism in Eukaryota, Metazoa, Chordata, Mammalia, Rodentia, Caviidae. The record is from RefSeq and is a predicted model, not a curated record. The transcript is spliced from 2 exons.